Molecule: ribosomal RNA, 468 nt
Filed under: uncultured bacterium
Lineage: Bacteria
Description: partial 16S ribosomal RNA
Rfam family: Bacterial small subunit ribosomal RNA
Source: RNAcentral
GACGAACGCUGGCGGCGUGCUUAACACAUGCAAGUCGAACGGAAAGGCCCUGCUUUUGUGGGGUGCUCGAGUGGCGAACGGGUGAGUAACACGUGAGUAACCUGCCCUUGACUUUGGGAUAACUUCAGGAAACUGGGGCUAAUACCGGAUAGGAGCUCCUGCUGCAUGGUGGGGGUUGGAAAGUUUCGGCGGUUGGGGAUGGACUCGCGGCUUAUCAGCUUGUUGGUGGGGUAGUGGCUUACCAAGGCUUUGACGGGUAGCCGGCCUGAGAGGGUGACCGGCCACAUUGGGACUGAGAUACGGGCCAGACUCCUACGGGAGGCAGCAGUGGGGAAUAUUGCACAAUGGGCGGAAGCCUGAUGCUGCAACGCCGCGUGCGGGAUGACGGCCUUCGGGUUGUAAACCGCUUUCGCCUGUGACGAAGCGUGAGUGACGGUAAUGGGUAAAGAAGCACCGGCUAACUACGUG